GGCACGGUGGUGCAGUGGGUAGUACGGUGGCCUUUCAGUUAGAAGGUUGUGAGUUCGAGGCUCACCAGUGACU
Molecule: non-coding RNA, 73 nt
Organism: Danionella cerebrum
Lineage: Eukaryota; Metazoa; Chordata; Actinopteri; Cypriniformes; Danionidae
Source: the annotation of a GenBank genome assembly